This 253-nucleotide ribosomal RNA is filed under the name uncultured bacterium. Its description in RNAcentral is "partial 16S ribosomal RNA". It matches the Rfam family "Bacterial small subunit ribosomal RNA", at positions 524 to 776 of the family's 1533-position model. The record is from RNAcentral.
UACGUAGGUGGCAAGCGUUGUCCGGAUUUACUGGGCGUAAAGAGCGCGCAGGCGGUCGUUCAAGUCGCGUGUGAAAGCCCCCGGCUCAACUGGGGAGGGUCACGCGAUACUGAUCGACUCGAAGGCAGGAGAGGGAAGUGGAAUUCCCGGUGUAGUGGUGAAAUGCGUAGAUAUCAGGAGGAACACCGAUUGCGAAGGCAGCUCGCUGGAACGUUACUGACGCUGAGACGCGAACGCGUGGGGAGCAAACAGG